UACAGGGGGUGCAAACGUUGCUCGGAAUCACUGGGCGUAAAGGGCGCGUAGGCGGGAAUGUAAGUCGGGCGUGAAAUCCCCAGGCUCAACCUGGGAACUGCACUCGAAACUGCGUUUCUUGAGUAUCGGAGAGGAAAGCGGAAUUCCUGGUGUAGAGGUGAAAUUCGUAGAUAUCAGGAGGAACACCAGUGGCGAAGGCGGCUUUCUGGACGGUAACUGACGCUGAGGCGCGAAAGCGUGGGGAGCAAACAGG
This 253-nucleotide ribosomal RNA is filed under the name uncultured bacterium. Its description in RNAcentral is "partial 16S ribosomal RNA". It matches the Rfam family "Bacterial small subunit ribosomal RNA", at positions 524 to 776 of the family's 1533-position model. The record is from RNAcentral.